CGCCGUCCUGUCCUGAGGUGUCCUUCACUCCCUGGUCUCUCUGCUCCUACUCUCAUUCUCGGAACCCUCCUCCACGCCCAACCUUCAAAAACCUAAGUUUAGGGUUAGGGUUUUUUCUUUUCUUUUAGUUUUAAAUGUAAUGCUUCUUCGUAAGUUCUUGAGGCCAUCUCGAAAACAGCAAUGUACGGUCACCCGCAACACAUGAGCAUGCACAACCAGAUCGCCGGCGACGACGACGACGGCGCUGCUUCGGAGUCCAUCGAUAAUCCUCAUGUCCAUUAUGAUGCCCACGUUCUCCAAGACGGAGUCGUCCCCGGCAUGGAAGUCGCCGGAGACGUACCCUCCGACGCUGUGUACGUCGCCGAUGGCUCCGAAGUCGCUCUUCAACCCAGCGACGCUACCAAUCAGCUUACGCUCUCCUUCCGCGGCCAAGUUUAUGUUUUUGAUUCUGUUACGCAUGAAAAGGUUCGAUCUGUGCUAUUACUUUUGGGGACACCAGAACUAUCUUCCAUUGCACAUAAUAUGGAAAUAGUACCUCAAAAUCAGAGGGCUUUAACAGACUUCCCUGGACCAUACAAUCAACCUCAUAGAGCAGCUUCUUUAAAUAGGUUCCGUCAAAAGAGAAAAGAGCGGUGUUUUGAUAAGAAAAUUAGAUAUAAUGUCCGCCAAGAAGUUGCACUCAGGAUGCAGCGAAACAAGGGUCAAUUUUCUUCGUCAAAGAAGUCUGAGGGAACUUUUAGCUGGGAUUCUGUCCAGGAUUCUGGACAAGAUGAGAGCCCUCCUGAAACCUUAUGUACACAUUGUGGCACCAGUUCAAAGUCCACUCCAAUGAUGCGACGUGGGCCAACUGGUCCGAGGUCUCUCUGCAAUGCAUGUGGGCUUUUUUGGGCAAACAGGGGAUCUUUGAGGGAUCUUUCCAAGAAAAACCAGGAUCAUUCUCUGAACCAAAUUGAGCGGGGUGAUGGUGAAGCUAAUGAUUCUGACUGUGGAACUAGUGGAUACAUAAAUAACAAUCAUGUUGCUUUCUCAAAUAGUGAUAACCCGGCUUUAAUACCUGAGCAGUAACUGUCAAGCUCCCUCACAAGAAAGGCUUCUGCCAUUACCUCUAGCAUCAUUCAAAUGAAGUACAAAGUCAUUUUGGGUGCGCCUUUAUCUCAGCAGACUGCCGUGGCAGAUGUGGACGCCACAUUAUAAGUCCUGAUAUUUUUCCUUCAAAUUGUUUAAUAUAGCCAAACACGGUUGCAGCGGAUUAUCAAUCAAUGCUACCGGUUUGGUGUAGGUUUCGAUCGGGGAAUUAAUUCUAACUCCCACUUUUGUUCAGCUGUCUUAAAUCUUCUUCAUAUAAUUUUGCAUUGCAGGAGAAAUGAAUUAUGUUACUGUAUUAAUAUUUCAUCCGAGGACUUCAUUGCCUUGGCCCA
Molecule: RNA transcript, 1418 nt
Organism: Vitis vinifera (wine grape)
Lineage: Eukaryota; Viridiplantae; Streptophyta; Magnoliopsida; Vitales; Vitaceae
Gene name: GATA transcription factor 25
Exons: 8
Source: RefSeq, a predicted model, not a curated record